This 71-nucleotide transfer RNA is filed under the name bacterium. RNAcentral describes it as "tRNA-Pro". It matches the Rfam family "tRNA". From Rfam's summary of the family: Transfer RNA (tRNA) molecules are approximately 80 nucleotides in length. Their secondary structure includes four short double-helical elements and three loops (D, anti-codon, and T loops). The record is from RNAcentral.
CGGGCUGUAGUAUACCGGUAGUACGCUUGCAUGGGGUGCAAGUAGACCGGGUCCAACUCCCGGCAGCCCGA